UACGGAAUGUGCAAACGUUAUUCGGAAUCACUGGGCUUAAAGAGUCCGUAGGCGGCAUGUUAGGUGAGGUGUGAAAUCCCCCGGCUCAACCGAGGAAUUGCGCUUCAAACCGGCGUGCUUGAGGAAGAUAGAGGUGGGCGGAACUGAUGGUGGAGCGGUGAAAUGCGUUGAGAUCGGAAAGAACACCAACGGCGAAAGCACUCUGCUGGGCCGACACUGACACUGAGAGACGAAAGCUAGGGGAGCAAAUGGG
Molecule: ribosomal RNA, 253 nt
Filed under: uncultured bacterium
Lineage: Bacteria
Description: partial 16S ribosomal RNA
Rfam family: Bacterial small subunit ribosomal RNA
Source: RNAcentral